Long non-coding RNA from Poecilia latipinna (sailfin molly), 855 nucleotides. RefSeq lists it as uncharacterized. NCBI's taxonomy places the organism in Eukaryota, Metazoa, Chordata, Actinopteri, Cyprinodontiformes, Poeciliidae. The transcript is spliced from 2 exons. The record is from RefSeq and is a predicted model, not a curated record.
UAGGUUAAAAAUUGAGGAUUAAUAGAAGCUAUGAGACGCAGAGAGAUUAAUCUGGGCAGGAUUGCAGUCUGUUAAUGACACUUAGUUGCCCGGUUGGUGGUCUGCACCACAAAGCAUCGCGUCUCUCCACAUGAUCCUUCAUGAAUAAAAUAAUGCAGUGAAGUAUUUAAAAACUCAUCAAUAAUUUACGUUUCCUCUCUCUGUUUCACCGUGUCACCCUGAGACACGGGAACUUAUUUGAAUCAUAUAGCGCUUUGUUUUCGCGACCCGUAUUUCUCUUAUCAUUAUUCUUAUUUUUUGUUUUUCACCUCUUUAGGUUUUGGAGGUGGUCCGCUCCAAUUACGACACUCUGACCCUGAAGCUGCAGGACGGUCUGGACCAGUUUGAGAGAUAUUCAGAGCAGCCAAAAGAAGCUGCGUUCUUCAAGGAGCUGGUGCGCUCCAUCAGUCUGAACGUGAGGAAGAACGUCUCUCUGAACACGCUGAGUCAGGACGUGCUGCUCAAAGAGUUCUCCACCAUCUCCUGAGCCUUUGGGUUGGCCUUCAUGUGCAUGUGGACCCAUACACACACACACACACACACACACACACACACACACACACACACUCACACUCACACACAGACCAGACAAGUCCUCAACGGUUCUUUCCAUUUCCACAACCUUUGUCAAAGUAAACCAAGCGGUGGAAAACCGACGGACGCCGCGCCGGCCGACCCGGACGCAGCAGUCCAGUCCCUGUCCACGCUUUCUUCUUCUGUGGUUUUGGAGGUGUCUGAAUGCAAUCAGCUGGACUGUUACUGACAGGGGAACAAAAAGUAUUCCUCCUGCUGUUCAAAUAAUCCCAGUUCAUGACA